Molecule: transfer RNA, 74 nt
Filed under: bacterium
Lineage: Bacteria
Description: tRNA-Arg
Rfam family: tRNA
About the family: Transfer RNA (tRNA) molecules are approximately 80 nucleotides in length. Their secondary structure includes four short double-helical elements and three loops (D, anti-codon, and T loops).
Source: RNAcentral
GCGCCCGUAGCUCAGUUGGAUAGAGCGUGAGUCUCCGGAACUCAAGGCCAGGCGUUCGAAUCGCCUCGGGCGCA